GCUGCUUGCUUUUUUAUCAUGGAAAAAAGUAAGUUAAUUGGGUACAGGCAUUUCAAUAAAAUGAAGAUGGCAAGACUAGAGAUGCACAAAAAAUAAUGACAAUGCUGGGACAAAUUAAUCCGGGAUUGAUGAUCAUUAAUGUAGAAGCAAGCUUUUAGAGAUUCUUAACAGUGGAGUGCAACAUGGAGUUCCAUUCCCAGUCUAUACAACCUUACCUUAAUGUCAACAACAAAAGACAAUUAAUUAAUUAAUGCGGAUUGUCGCCGGCCUGAUGAAUGGGAGACGCGAAAGCUUAAACAUGGACAUCGGAACAAAACUGACAAUUAAUUUGGCACUUUAUUUGGCAGCUGCAAAUAAUUGUAUUGUUCAAUAACAACAAAUCAAAAACAGUAACUACACCACUGGGACUGAAGAUCCAAGUAAUUCAUAACCUUACAGAUCAUGCUACAGAGAAAACAAAUUGACAAAUUCUCAACAAAUCUCAGUUAAAAGUGUAAUCAGAUCUACUUAGAAUUUUCUUUUAAUUCCUCUUCCUGUAAACACACAUAAACUUAAAAUAAAACAUCGUGCAGUAUAAGAAAGCACAAAGAUACACACACACACACAUAUAUAUGUAUGUAUGUAUGUAUUUAUAUAUGUAAGAAUCAAAAGAAAUAACAAACACUCGUAAUUAGUGUAAAAUUAUCAUUUGCAUUAACUAUAUAUAGAAAGGAAAACAGUUCAAUAUAUUGUAAAGUUGGAAGAAAUAGCGACAUAAUUAUCCUCAUAACUAAUAACAUGAAAAUUGAAGUUCUCAUGUAUACAUACAUACUGUAUUUAAUUGUUGAUGAUCAGAUUCUUCACAUGGACAUGGUGAAUGGCUGAUGAUGAAAACUUGUUGCAGCUCUUCCUAGCUUCUUUAGAUUCUAAAGAAGUUGAACGAAGGAUAUUAUUGUUAAACCAGAAGAAGGGUAGUUUAUGAUGAAAAAUCUAAAUAUGAAAUUGAGUAAAAAGCUAUGACUACAAUUGCCUGGCUCCAUCCUGUCUGCCUUUCUUUUUCUAUCUGUGAAGGAAUGUUGUUCAGGGAGAAAGAGUUACAUUGUUUUCAUCACUACCCCUUAUAAUUCAGUACUUAUCUACCCAAAAUGACCUUUUGAGUACACAAGUAAAUGCCAAGUCCCCGGUAAGGGUAGUUUGGCCAUUGCAUCUUACAAGUAAAAUGGGUGGUUGAGAAAGAUGAGAAGUGCUUGUCCUCUAAGGCAAACCCCACCAACAAAUCCUUUCUCUUUAUUAAUUAAUUCCUCUCCCUCAAAUUUGAGAGAGAAACUAUGAGAGAGGAGGAAGAAGAAUA
This 1330-nucleotide long non-coding RNA is filed under the name Citrus x clementina. RNAcentral's name for it is "Citrus clementina (C. clementina) long non-coding RNA (CCLE_LNC001312)". Lineage: Eukaryota; Viridiplantae; Streptophyta; Magnoliopsida; Sapindales; Rutaceae. The record is from RNAcentral.